UUUUUUUGCACGGAAGCAUUUAAAUGAGCAGGAGUAGACAUUUUUACAUAGGUCUAUGAAUGAGUAUGCAACAUAUUUCGACAUUUUUGGAAAAAAGGAAGUUGAGUUAGAACCGAACAAGAUGUCCCUUUCGUACAUACAUCCAUAUUCUGAGUAGCCGAGCCUCAGAGCUUGCAAUCAUUUAAAUGAACAGAAUUGAAAAUUUUUCAUCGUUCUAUAAAUCAGUAGGCAUCAUAUUUGGACCUCUUUGGAGAAGUCUAAGGGGGAAUAUGUCUAGGUGAAAGGUAAUUCCUGAACGGGAAUCGCCAAAGCCAUUUUUACGCUUGAUUCGAACCAAUAGGAAGGCAUCUGGGAUGAACGGAACCUAUGGCUUCAAUUAUGGAGUUAAUGAACAAUGAAAGGAACUU
Long non-coding RNA from Harmonia axyridis, 407 nucleotides. RefSeq lists it as uncharacterized. The transcript is spliced from 3 exons. The record is from RefSeq and is a predicted model, not a curated record. Lineage: Eukaryota; Metazoa; Arthropoda; Insecta; Coleoptera; Coccinellidae.